This 387-nucleotide ribosomal RNA is filed under the name Dryophilocoris miyamotoi. Its description in RNAcentral is "eukaryotic LSU rRNA". It matches the Rfam family "Eukaryotic large subunit ribosomal RNA", at positions 763 to 1138 of the family's 3401-position model. RNAcentral also lists the same sequence under 3 other names. Lineage: Eukaryota; Metazoa; Arthropoda; Insecta; Hemiptera; Miridae. The record is from RNAcentral.
GGGCGUCUCUAUCUCAUUGCGAGAGGAGGCGCACCUAUAGCGUACACGCUGAUACCCGAAAGAUGGUGAACUAUGCCUGGCCAGGACGAAGCCAGGGGAAACCCUGGUGGAGGUCCGCAGCGAUUCUGACGUGCAAAUCGAUCGUCGGAGCUGGGUUUAGGGGCGAAAGACCAAUCGAACCAUCUAGUAGCUGGUUCCCUCUGAAGUUUCCCUCAGGAUAGCUUGCGCUCGGACGAGACGAGUCUCAUCCGGUAGAGCGAAUGAUUAGAGGCCUUGGGGUCGAAACGACCUCAACCUAUUCUCAAACUCCAAAUAGAUGAGAACCCUGGCUUUCUUAAACUAUGAAGCCAAGGGGUUUCGGAUCAGAGUGCCAAGUGGGCCAAUUUU